Molecule: ribosomal RNA, 594 nt
Filed under: Morchella tridentina
Lineage: Eukaryota; Fungi; Ascomycota; Pezizomycetes; Pezizales; Morchellaceae
Description: partial 28S ribosomal RNA
Rfam family: Eukaryotic large subunit ribosomal RNA
Source: RNAcentral
GCGGAGGAAAAGAAACCAACAGGGAUUGCCUCAGUAACGGCGAGUGAAGCGGCAAAAGCUCAAAUUUUAAAGCUGGCAUCUUCGGUGCCCGCGUUGUAAUUUUGUGAGGCAUCUCCGGGUAGGGCGCCGGCCUAAGUUCCUUGGAACAGGACGUCACAGAGGGUGAGAAUCCCGUGCUUGGCUGGCUGUCCCCGCCCACGUGAGGUGUCUUCGACGAGUCGAGUUGUUUGGGAAUGCAGCUCAAAAUGGGUGGUAAAUUUCAUCUAAAGCUAAAUAUUGGUGGGAGACCGAUAGCGCACAAGUAGAGUGAUCGAAAGAUGAAAAGCACUUUGAAAAUAGAGUUAAAAAGUACGUGAAAUUGUUGAAAGGGAAGCGCUUGAGACCAGACUUCGGUAGGGGGUGAUCAGCCGUCCUUCUGGGCGGUGCACUUGCCCCCCUCCGGGCCAGCAUCGGUUGAGGCGGCGGGAUAAAGGUCCCGGGAAUGUGGCUCCCUCACGGGAGUGUUAUAGCCCGGGUGAAUGCCGCCAGCCUCGACCGAGGACCGCGCCCGCAAGGGCUAGGAUGCUUGGCGUAAUGGUCUUCAGCGACCCGUCU